This 501-nucleotide long non-coding RNA is filed under the name Homo sapiens (human). RNAcentral describes it as "HSALNT0406122". Lineage: Eukaryota; Metazoa; Chordata; Mammalia; Primates; Hominidae. The record is from RNAcentral.
UGAAACACGGAACCUCAGAACCAAAUAAUUUAUUUCAGCCUCCUGAGUUUUAUUAAUACAGACUGAAAAUGUAGACUUGAGUUUACCUUUUUAAGUCCUAUUUCUCUUUAACUAAAAUUAUGUUGAUAUUUUAUGUUAGUUUAAAUGAUUAAUAAGCCCUAGUUAUAUCUAUGUUUUCAUUUUUAUAAAAUUCACCACACUGAACCAGAAGUAACUGGAAAAAUACAUGCUCAGCUGCAUAAAAGACAUUGGUCCUGGUGGUAAAGAGACCUAGUGGAAGACACCAUUGCUGAUCUCCUGGGCAAAGUAGGGCAGAGGGCAUGGCACAGAGUGGACUCUUACAAGAAACUCCAGGCCUAGAAAAUCACAAACUCAGCUUGGUUCUGGUUUCUACAGCUACCUGGACUCAAAGACUUGCACCGCUCUCUGUGUAAAUACUAGAAAUGUUACAAAUCUUUUUGCUUUUCUUUAAAAAAAAAAAAAAGUGUUUCUUCCCAAUUC